RNAcentral lists this ribosomal RNA (575 nucleotides) under uncultured bacterium. Its description in RNAcentral is "partial 16S ribosomal RNA". It matches the Rfam family "Bacterial small subunit ribosomal RNA", at positions 355 to 920 of the family's 1533-position model. The record is from RNAcentral.
UGGGGAAUAUUGCACAAUGGGCGCAAGCCUGAUGCAGCCAUGCCGCGUGUGUGAAGAAGGCCUUCGGGUUGUAAAGCACUUUCAGCGAGGAGGAAGGUGGUGAGCUUAAUACGCUCAUCAAUUGACGUUACUCGCAGAAGAAGCACCGGCUAACUCCGUGCCAGCAGCCGCGGUAAUACGGAGGGUGCAAGCGUUAAUCGGAAUUACUGGGCGUAAAGCGCACGCAGGCGGUUUGUUAAGUCAGAUGUGAAAUCCCCGGGCUCAACCUGGGAACUGCAUUUGAAACUGGCAAGCUAGAGUCUCGUAGAGGGGGGUAGAAUUCCAGGUGUAGCGGUGAAAUGCGUAGAGAUCUGGAGGAAUACCGGUGGCGAAGGCGGCCCCCUGGACGAAGACUGACGCUCAGGUGCGAAAGCGUGGGGCAGCAAACAGGAUUAGAUACCCUGGUAGUCCACGCUGUAAACGAUGUCGAUUUUGGAGGUUGUGCCCUUGAGGCGUGGCUUCCGGAGCUAACGCGUUAAAUCGACCGCCUGGGGAGUACGGCCGCAAGGUUAAAACUCAAAUGAAUUGACGGGGUC